AUGUCACUAAGGGCCUUUUCUUCUUAUUUGUGUGACAGUUAUAUAGAUGGUCCCCCUGAGUGUAUGGAAACAAAAUCAAUGGCAAACUUCAAUCCACACAAUCACUUCUUAUGUGAGACACAGCGUUGGCUAUUACCUCACAGAACUGAUCCAAAGCUCAUUGAAUUACAAAGAAAAAAUCCCAUCCAUGUCACUGGAGUUUGCAUCAAACCUGAACUGUCAACAGACGACUACUAAGUUACAGUGUCAUACUUGGAAGUAUUCCCUCUGAAGCUCAAGUUUCUACUGUGCCUCUUGGAAGGAGGAAAAUGGAAGAGUUCACUGUGUUUCAUAUCUGGAUGGUUCACUGACCUACAUUUAUUUUAUCUACUUCCCAUUUAACAUGUUAUGUGACUUUUUUGGUGUGCCCCAGCAAAGAUUUUCAAUGGUCCAAAAAACCAUGCUGGGAAAGAACGCUAAUACUAUGCUGCCCUUGAUAGGAUAGUGACUGGCAGUAUAUAAAUACACUCAGUGGAAUGACAGAAAACUCUCUUCUAUAUUUAUGAGGAGCCCUGGGCCAACGCACACAGUGGUGGGAGCCCAUCUGCU
Molecule: long non-coding RNA, 588 nt
Filed under: Numida meleagris (helmeted guineafowl)
Lineage: Eukaryota; Metazoa; Chordata; Aves; Galliformes; Numididae
Description: lncRNA (ENSNMEG00000021044.1)
Source: RNAcentral